This 68-nucleotide transfer RNA is filed under the name Nanhuaphasma hamicercum. RNAcentral describes it as "tRNA-Leu". It matches the Rfam family "tRNA". From Rfam's summary of the family: Transfer RNA (tRNA) molecules are approximately 80 nucleotides in length. Their secondary structure includes four short double-helical elements and three loops (D, anti-codon, and T loops). The record is from RNAcentral. Lineage: Eukaryota; Metazoa; Arthropoda; Insecta; Phasmatodea; Aschiphasmatidae.
ACUAUUUUGGCAGAUGUUAGUGCAAUAGAUUUAGAAUCUAUUUAUGUUGAUUGAUUCAAUAAUUAGUA